CAAAACGACUCUCGGCAACGGAUAUCUCGGCUCUCGCAUCGAUGAAGAACGUAGCGAAAUGCGAUACUUGGUGUGAAUUGCAGAAUCCCGUGAACCAUCGAGUCUUUGAACGCAAGUUGCGCCCGAAGCCAUCCGGCCGAGGGCACGCCUGCCUGGGCGUCA
RNAcentral lists this ribosomal RNA (162 nucleotides) under Stachytarpheta cayennensis (cayenne snakeweed). Its description in RNAcentral is "5.8S ribosomal RNA". It matches the Rfam family "5.8S ribosomal RNA". From Rfam's summary of the family: 5.8S ribosomal RNA (5.8S rRNA) is a component of the large subunit of the eukaryotic ribosome. It is transcribed by RNA polymerase I as part of the 45S precursor that also contains 18S and 28S rRNA. Lineage: Eukaryota; Viridiplantae; Streptophyta; Magnoliopsida; Lamiales; Verbenaceae. The record is from RNAcentral.